Long non-coding RNA from Hippocampus comes (tiger tail seahorse), 1977 nucleotides. RefSeq lists it as uncharacterized. NCBI's taxonomy places the organism in Eukaryota, Metazoa, Chordata, Actinopteri, Syngnathiformes, Syngnathidae. The transcript is spliced from 2 exons. The record is from RefSeq and is a predicted model, not a curated record.
GUCCAAAAAUGUUUAGCCCAUGUUAAAACAGCAAGUCAAACAAGCAUUCCGUAAUCAAGCCCGCGGGGAUAUUUGACGGCAUAUAAAGAAGAAGUGGGGAGUGACAUCAGCACAUUCGGCAAGACCCACGCGGGCGCCUCCCCUGUGUGGCGAGCAAGGCGUCAUUUUAGGUUCAAGUAAACACUCGCGCUGUGUAGAAGGACUGAGUAAGAGCUCAUCAAUCUUGACGCCAAAAUCGGGGCUGCUGAAUCAACACAGGAAGCGAGGCCUCGUACGGCUUUGCUCCGUGUUAUCAUUGCUGAAGGAUCUUGAAAGGCUUUCCGGUUUACUGCACUGACUUCCGGGCCACCGUCGUCCAUGAACAAUCGAUUAAGAGAGAGAUUUAAAAACGACCUUCCUGCUAAGCCCCUCGGGCCAAACAAGCUGAAUAUUCAUCAGGUGGUUCAUAUCGAUCCGUGCUCAACGGUGGGACGUGACCCUUCUCAAAACGGCCCCGUUUUUUUUUUUUUUUUCAAACUGCUGUGAGCAAUCGCUUCCCGUCUGCGUGAGCGCGUGGAAGCUAUGUAGCCGUCAGAGGCCGGAGCGGGGACUAAAUAUAGGAAGUGAAGUCGUCUGGCUCGCUCUCAUCAUGACAUCAGAGUGUGCGACGCCUUUCCUUGUUGCCUGGACGCGGAACAGACACAGGAAAACAGAAGAAGAUCCAGGGCCAGGAUUGACUUUUGAACAAGAGGAAAGCCAAGCAAAGACACCCCCCGCCCCCAAUGUGACAACAGACAUGCUUCCCUGUCCUGUCAACAACUCGUGCACGAUUUCCGUGCAACAGCAGGAAGUCAAAACAUUCCAGGCGCAGCUGCAGGGAUGUUUUGACAAAUAGUUGUCUCUCUACGCCACAGACAUGCGCCAUCGCAUUGGAAAGGGCUUUCAAAGCAGUGCUGGGAAUUAUCCGAGUACAAAUACUUUGUUACAGUAGAUAAGAUUUUAAAAAUAGGCUUGUUAGGUUUUUUUUUUUCAAGCUCCAUAGAUGACACGACGAUAAAAUGACAUCAAUAGAAAGUGGCUGAGAUUGUGAUCUGAUGAAAAACCCCGGACAGCGAGAUGUUCUCUACUGAUCUGUUCUCUAUUGAAGAGAAAAAGGGUGGCAGCUAUUGAUGCUAAUCAAGCUAGCUCUUGAAUAAAAUCUAAUUAAAUUCUUCCUCAGACUCGGUACGCUUUUACUUUUAUGUAACGGUGUCAAAUGACUACUUCUAUUUUGCUAGAGUUCUUUUUUAACACAAGUAUCAAUACGUGUGAGUGUGAGAAUUAAAGUUGAGCAUUAAUAGAUACUGACCUUUGACCUACAGCUAGUGUUACCCCAGAGUCAUGAAACAGACUUAAAUAGCGGCGGCUUUUAUGUCUGUCUGACAGCAAAAACCUGCAUCACAUGUUCAUCCUUGCUAUAAGUGUAAAUAUUGACUGCCACAAAAAAAAACAAAAAAAAACGAUUGUAGGGAUUUACCAAAGACAACUGAACCGUCCAUUAAGCAGUUCUUAUUGCCUUGUGGUCCCAUAAAAUUGAUCAAAAGCGUUAGACUAUGCUCUCAUGCAGGCCUCGGGCUGUUGACGUACCAUCCAAAAGUAGACUUUGUUCAUUAUUGACCUGUCCAAACGUGUCAAAGUGACUGAAAAAGAAAAAACAAGAAGCUGUGACUGACACAGAUGAUUGUUUCCUUUUAUGGAUGUGCAUCAUUAAGUGGUAAAUUAAGAUGAUGCAACUAACCACGGGGAUGGAAAAUGCGCACGAAGCAAUUUUAAAUGGAAUACUGUUAUUAUGUCUGAUUCUCGUUUGUCACUUUUGCUAAAACACAAAUGAAAGUGUGGGGAGUUCACUGCUGGGAAACUGACCAUCUAAAGUUUAAAGAGGAAAUAAAAUGAUGCAUACUAGAGAAGUCGACUACUUUAUCAGAUAGGAACUGGUUCAUUGGCAAAAAAAAAAAAAAA